CAUCACCCUUACCGUGUACGUGAUGGUUUCUUCAGUGUCCUGUGACUUGACCAACGCCAGAGUCAGCAUAGUUAGGAAAAGGGCUUUCAACAUCAUGAAUCUCAAAUAAAACACAGUACAAACCGAUGCUUAGCAUCCGCAGCGGAGGAAAAUAAAACUUCAGCUGUAAAGUAACAAGCAAGCAAGGUAGAGAAGGUGGAGAAAGCUGAGGCUCCUUCAUACACAACUUCUUCUAAUCUACUUCUCAUCUCCCCACCCCCUCCUCAACUUUCCCUUGGCCAAACGGGACACCAAAGGCUGAAGACGGCUGCAGAAUUACAUUUCGAUUUACACUGUCCGGCUACGAAUAUACACAAAAGCUGUAAGGGGUCACCAAGAAUUGGAAUUUGGUACGACUCAAAAGUCUUUUGGCAACCUUAGACUAAGCCACAGUGGAUUCUAAAUUUCAAUAUCAAUUAGGACAGUUGAAUGUGAAACAUUCACAGAAGGAAUGAGGAAGGAACCUUCAGUGUGAUAAUCUGGCAGCUGAAGUUUGAGGAGGGCCUGGCAGGAGAUCAUAUCCCCUUUUGAACUGUUUGGAAUGUGACAGAGUAGCACCCACAAAAAGAGUGGGAGGAGCUUUCAGAAGGAAAACAUUUUAGGUUCAGCUUUUACUUUACUACACAUAGACCCCUUGAUUGCAACUUUUUAAAAGAAACAAGUAACAAGCACUGAAGACAUGCUAUAUCA
This 729-nucleotide long non-coding RNA is filed under the name Bos grunniens (domestic yak). RNAcentral's name for it is "lncRNA (ENSBGRG00000019154.1)". The record is from RNAcentral. Lineage: Eukaryota; Metazoa; Chordata; Mammalia; Artiodactyla; Bovidae.